UACGGGGGGGGCAAGCGUUGUUCGGAAUUACUGGGCGUAAAGGGCGCGUAGGCGGCCUGCUAAGUCGAACGUGAAAUCCCCGGGCUCAACCCGGGAACUGCGUCCGAUACUGGUGGGCUUGAAUCCGGGAGAGGGAUGCAGAAUUCCAGGUGUAGCGGUGAAAUGCGUAGAUAUCUGGAGGAAUACCGGUGGCGAAGGCGGCAUCCUGGACCGACAUUGACGCUGAACGGCGAAAGCUAGGGGAGCAAACGGG
This 253-nucleotide ribosomal RNA is filed under the name uncultured bacterium. RNAcentral describes it as "partial 16S ribosomal RNA". It matches the Rfam family "Bacterial small subunit ribosomal RNA", at positions 524 to 776 of the family's 1533-position model. The record is from RNAcentral.